This 266-nucleotide ribosomal RNA is filed under the name Citrobacter koseri. RNAcentral describes it as "partial 23S ribosomal RNA". It matches the Rfam family "Bacterial large subunit ribosomal RNA", at positions 1132 to 1397 of the family's 2925-position model. The record is from RNAcentral. RNAcentral also lists the same sequence under 2 other names. Lineage: Bacteria; Pseudomonadati; Pseudomonadota; Gammaproteobacteria; Enterobacterales; Enterobacteriaceae.
GCGUAAUAGCUCACUGGUCGAGUCGGCCUGCGCGGAAGAUGUAACGGGGCUAAACCAUGCACCGAAGCUGCGGCAGCGACACUAUGUGUUGUUGGGUAGGGGAGCGUUCUGUAAGCCGUUGAAGGUGUGCUGUGAGGCAUGCUGGAGGUAUCAGAAGUGCGAAUGCUGACAUAAGUAACGAUAAAGCGGGUGAAAAGCCCGCUCGCCGGAAGACCAAGGGUUCCUGUCCAACGUUAAUCGGGGCAGGGUGAGUCGACCCCUAAGGC